This 481-nucleotide ribosomal RNA is filed under the name Enterovibrio norvegicus. RNAcentral's name for it is "bacterial SSU rRNA". It matches the Rfam family "Bacterial small subunit ribosomal RNA", at positions 1 to 469 of the family's 1533-position model. The record is from RNAcentral. Lineage: Bacteria; Pseudomonadati; Pseudomonadota; Gammaproteobacteria; Vibrionales; Vibrionaceae.
UAAUUGAAGAGUUUGAUCAUGGCUCAGAUUGAACGCUGGCGGCAGGCCUAACACAUGCAAGUCGAGCGGCAGCGACAACAAAGAUUCUUCGGAGGAUUUGUUGGGCGGCGAGCGGCGGACGGGUGAGUAAUGGCUGGGAACCUGCCCUGACGUGGGGGAUAACAGUUGGAAACGACUGCUAAUACCGCAUGAUGUCUUCGGACCAAAGAGGAGGACCUUCGGGCUUCUCGCGUCGGGAUGGGCCCAGUUGGGAUUAGCUAGUUGGUGAGGUAAUGGCUCACCAAGGCGACGAUCCCUAGCUGGUUUGAGAGGAUGAUCAGCCACACUGGAACUGAGACACGGUCCAGACUCCUACGGGAGGCAGCAGUGGGGAAUAUUGCACAAUGGGCGCAAGCCUGAUGCAGCCAUGCCGCGUGUGUGAAGAAGGCCUUCGGGUUGUAAAGCACUUUCAGCAGUGAGGAAGGGUGAUGAGUUAAUACCU